RNAcentral lists this ribosomal RNA (410 nucleotides) under uncultured bacterium. RNAcentral's name for it is "bacterial SSU rRNA". It matches the Rfam family "Bacterial small subunit ribosomal RNA", at positions 28 to 432 of the family's 1533-position model. The record is from RNAcentral.
GAUGAACGCUAGCGGCAGGCUUAACACAUGCAAGUCGUGGGGCAGCGCGGACUUCGGUCUGGCGGCGACCGGCAAACGGGUGCGGAACACGUACGCAACCUCCCUCAGAGCGGGGAAUAGCCUCUCGAAAGAGAGAUUAAUACCCCAUAGUAUCUUGAAGACACAUGUCUAUGAGACUAAAGCUUCGGCACUUUGAGAUGGGCGUGCGGCUGAUUAGGUAGUUGGUAGGUAACGGCCUACCAAGCCGACGAUCAGUAGCUGAUGUGAGAGCAUGAUCAGCCACACGGGCACUGAGACACGGGCCCGACUCCUACGGGAGGCAGCAGUGAGGAAUAUUGGUCAAUUGGAGGAAAACUACUGAACCAAGCCAUGCCGCGUGGAGGGAUGAAGGUCCUCUGGAUUGUAAACUA